This is a non-coding RNA of Caenorhabditis elegans, 143 nucleotides long. The record is from Ensembl. Lineage: Eukaryota; Metazoa; Nematoda; Chromadorea; Rhabditida; Rhabditidae.
ACCAAAACAACCUUUUAGCCACACAGCAGGAUCUCGCAUCCAGGACUGACAGACCAGCAGCAGCAGUUCCUGUUCCACACACAAACACACGCACAUCCAUUAUCCACACCAAUUAUCUUUUCUGAACCAAACAUGACUAACCA